CUUAAAAGUUAUGGCGGCAGGGAACAACAAGGAUUUCAUUCGGAGGCACACCGGGAGCCAUUGAAAGGAUAAUAAUGCUGCUGUUCGGACACAAAUGGAGGAGAAUGAGCCACAAAACCGAGACAGAGCAGCCGACUGGCAACAUAACCGAGUAAUGGCUUCUUCCUCAAGGAACGGCACUUCAGCCCAUAACUUGUUCGAUUGAUGACAUCCUGCUAUCAGCUUUCACCAGCAUCUUCACAGGUUAUUUUUGGGAAUCCUGCGGGUGAAAGAAAAAGCUGACAUGACAGAUGAUGUAGGAAUUGGCAAGCAGCUGGCACAGUGCAGACAGACCGAGCUCCAGCGUCUCACAUAACCCAGGUCUGCUCCGCUUGCUCACUGGGCCAGUCCAGGCGGCACAUGUUCCCCACCGUCCCGUUGCCCUUGGGGAAGGACUUGAGGACGCUGAAGACGGGGUAGGGCACCAUGACGAGCAGCGACACCACCCAGGUG
Xiphophorus couchianus (Monterrey platyfish) is the source of this 492-nucleotide long non-coding RNA. RefSeq lists it as uncharacterized. The transcript has 4 exons. Lineage: Eukaryota; Metazoa; Chordata; Actinopteri; Cyprinodontiformes; Poeciliidae. The record is from RefSeq and is a predicted model, not a curated record.